Molecule: ribosomal RNA, 253 nt
Filed under: uncultured bacterium
Lineage: Bacteria
Description: partial 16S ribosomal RNA
Rfam family: Bacterial small subunit ribosomal RNA
Source: RNAcentral
UACGAAGGGGGCUAGCGUUGCUCGGAAUUACUGGGCGUAAAGGGCGCGUAGGCGGACAGUUUAGUCAGAGGUGAAAGCCCAGGGCUCAACCUUGGAAUUGCCUUUGAUACUGGCUGUCUUGAGUUCGGGAGAGGUGGGUGGAAUGCCGAGUGUAGAGGUGAAAUUCGUAGAUAUUCGGCGGAACACCAGUGGCGAAGGCGACUCACUGGCCCGGUACUGACGCUGAGGCGCGAAAGCGUGGGGAGCAAACAGG